This 465-nucleotide ribosomal RNA is filed under the name uncultured bacterium. RNAcentral describes it as "bacterial SSU rRNA". It matches the Rfam family "Bacterial small subunit ribosomal RNA", at positions 338 to 795 of the family's 1533-position model. The record is from RNAcentral.
CCUACGGGACGCAGCAGUGGGGAAUAUUGCACAAUGGGCGCAAGCCUGAUGCAGCCAUGCCGCGUGUAUGAAGAAGGCCUUCGGGUUGCAAAGUACUUUCGGCGGGGAGUAAGGUGUUGAGGUUAAUAACCUCAGCAAUUGACGUUACCCGCAGAAGAAGCACCGGCUAACUCCGUGUCAGCAGCCGCGGUAAUACGGAGGGUGCAAGCGUUAAUCGGAAUUACUGGGCGUAAAGCGCACGCAGGCGGUCUGUCAAGUCGGAUGUGAAAUCCCCGGGCUCAACCUGGGAACUGCAUUCGAAACUGGCAGGCUAGAGUCUUGUAGAGGGGGGUAGAAUUCCAGGUGUAGCGGUGAAAUGCGUAGAGAUCUGGAGGAAUACCGGUGGCGAAGGCGGCCCCCUGGACAAAGACUGACGCUCAGGUGCGAAAGCGUGGGGAGCAAACAGGAUUAGAUACCCGAGUAGUC